GACGAACGCUGGCGGCGUGCUUAACACAUGCAAGUCGAACGGAAAGGCCCUGCUUUUGUGGGGUGCUCGAGUGGCGAACGGGUGAGUAACACGUGAGUAACCUGCCCUUGACUUUGGGAUAACUUCAGGAAACUGGGGCUAAUACCGGAUAGGAGCUCCUGCUGCAUGGGGGGGGUUGGAAAGUUUCGGCGGUUGGGGAUGGACUAGCGGCUUAUCAGCUUGUUGGUGGGGUAGUGGCUUACCAAGGCUUUGACGGGUAGCCGGCCUGGGAGGGUGACCGGCCACAUUGGGACUGCGAUACGGCCCAGACUCCUACGGGAGGCAGCAGUGGGGAAUAUUGCACAAUGGGCGGAAGCCUGAUGCAGCAACGCCGCGUGCGGGAUGACGGCCUUCGGGUUGUAAACCGCUUUCGCCUGUGACGAAGCGUGAGUGACGGUAAUGGGUAAAGAAGCACCGGCUAACUACGUG
RNAcentral lists this ribosomal RNA (468 nucleotides) under uncultured bacterium. RNAcentral's name for it is "partial 16S ribosomal RNA". It matches the Rfam family "Bacterial small subunit ribosomal RNA", at positions 28 to 507 of the family's 1533-position model. The record is from RNAcentral.